UGACGCUUCACCACGGUAGUGGUAGACAGAGCGACAAUAGAAGAGGUGUCUGUUCAUUUCUUGUUUCACAGCGUCUCAAGUUGACAGUCUGUUUCCCAGCAUGGCUGAAACUAAAGGGAAGUUUGAUUUUGCGAUUGAUCGGGGAGGAACCUUCACAGAUGUGUUCGCCUGUUUGCCCGAUGGUAGGGAGAGAGUCCUAAAACUGUUGUCACAUGACCCCCAGAACUACAGAGACGCUCCUACUGAGGGCAUCCGCCGAGUACUGGAGGAGGUGAGGAGGAAGACAUGAAUAUAUUUGGACUUGGAUGCUUAUUGGGAAGAGAGACGGGGCAGAGCUUUGCUCGAGAUCUGG
Molecule: long non-coding RNA, 352 nt
Organism: Sinocyclocheilus grahami
Lineage: Eukaryota; Metazoa; Chordata; Actinopteri; Cypriniformes; Cyprinidae
Exons: 3
Source: RefSeq, a predicted model, not a curated record